This 492-nucleotide ribosomal RNA is filed under the name uncultured bacterium. RNAcentral describes it as "partial 16S ribosomal RNA". It matches the Rfam family "Bacterial small subunit ribosomal RNA", at positions 29 to 507 of the family's 1533-position model. The record is from RNAcentral.
AGUGAACGCUGGCGGUAGGCCUAACACAUGCAAGUCGAACGGCAGCGCAGUAAGAGCUUGCUCUUACGGGUGGCGAGUGGCGGACGGGUGAGGAAUACAUCGGAAUCUACUUUUUCGUGGGGGAUAACGUAGGGAAACUUACGCUAAUACCGCAUACGACCUACGGGUGAAAGCAGGGGAUCUUCGGACCUUGCGCGAUUGAAUGAGCCGAUGUCGGAUUAGCUAGUUGGCGGGGUAAAGGCCCACCAAGGCGACGAUCCGUAGCUGGUCUGAGAGGAUGAUCAGCCACACUGGAACUGAGACACGGUCCAGACUCCUACGGGAGGCAGCAGUGGGGAAUAUUGGACAAUGGGCGCAAGCCUGAUCCAGCCAUACCGCGUGGGUGAAGAAGGCCUUCGGGUUGUAAAGCCCUUUUGUUGGGAAAGAAAAGCAGCAGGUUAAUACCCCGCUGUUCUGACGGUACCCAAAGAAUAAGCACCGGCUAACCUCGUG